AAAAAGUUUUAUUUUGGCUUGAAAUAUUAGUUUAUAAUUUUUUUAUAUAUGUAAGUUUUAGCGUUUAUUAUUGAAAAUUUAAAAAAUUUUUGGUUUAAAAAUUAUUCGCAGUUUUUAGUUUUUUAUAUUUAAGAAAUUAAGAUUAAGAAAUUUAUUUUAAUAUUAACAAAAUUUGUGCCAGCAGUUGCGGUUAUACAAAUAAUGUAAUUAAUAUUUAUUAAUUAAUAAUUAAUUAAUUAUUAUUUAUAAAUAAAAUUUUAGUUUAUUAAGUGAAAUUUUAAAUUAAGUAAAAUUUAUAAUUAAUAUUUUGAAGUUAUUAAAUUUUUUUGAUAAACUAGGAUUAGAUACCCUAUUAUUUAAAAUGUAAAUUUUUAUGUUAAAUUAGUAUUAGUUAUUUUCUUGAAAAUUAAAAAAUUUGGCGGUAUUUUAGUCUUUUCAGAGGAACCUGUUCUAUAAUCGAUAUUCCACGAUUAAUUGUACUUAUUUUAUUAGUUUAUAUAUCGUCGUAGUUUGAAUAUUUUAUAAGAAAUUAAAUAUUCAAGAUUUAUUAUUAUAAAUAAAAUCAGAUCAAGGUAUAGCUUAUAAAUAAGAAGAAAUGGGUUACAAUAAAAUUAUUUAAACGAAUUUAAAAAUUAAAAUUUUUUAUGAAGGUGGAUUUGAAAGUAAUAUAAUUUAUUUAAAUUAUAUGAUUUAAGCUCUAAAAUAUGUACAUAUCGCCCGUCGCUCUCAUAUAAAAUGAGAUAAGUCGUAACAAAGUAGAUGUACUGGAAAGUGUAUCUAGAAUGAU
Molecule: non-coding RNA, 787 nt
Filed under: Ochthebius perpusillus
Lineage: Eukaryota; Metazoa; Arthropoda; Insecta; Coleoptera; Hydraenidae
Source: RNAcentral